RNAcentral lists this ribosomal RNA (406 nucleotides) under uncultured bacterium. RNAcentral describes it as "partial 16S ribosomal RNA". It matches the Rfam family "Bacterial small subunit ribosomal RNA", at positions 28 to 526 of the family's 1533-position model. The record is from RNAcentral.
GAUGAACGCUGACAGCAUGCUUAACACAUCAGCAAUUGAUUGGUGGCGGACGGGUGAGUAACGCGUAAAGAACUUGCCUCACAGGUAGGGACAACAUUUGGAAACGAAUGCUAAUACCUAAUACUGUGAGAGAGCUUUGCGUCCCAUUAGCUAGUUGGAGAGGUAACGGCUCACCAAGGCGAUGAUGGGUAGCCGGACUGAGAGGGUGAUCGGGCACAAGGGGACUGAGACACGGCACGUACGCCUACGGGAGGCAGCAGUGGGGAAUAUUGGAAAAUGGACCAAAGUCUGAGCCAGCAAUUCGGUGUGCAAGAUGAAGUUGUCGGAAUGGAAAGUGCUGUCAGUUGGGAAGCGGUACCAACAGAAGAAGUGACGGCUAAAUACGUGCCAGCAGCCGCGGUAAUUC